This is a long non-coding RNA of Helianthus annuus (common sunflower), 737 nucleotides long. RefSeq lists it as uncharacterized. NCBI's taxonomy places the organism in Eukaryota, Viridiplantae, Streptophyta, Magnoliopsida, Asterales, Asteraceae. The record is from RefSeq and is a predicted model, not a curated record. The transcript has 3 exons.
UCCUAAUAAUUUAAAUACAAGCGAAUCAAAGAAUUAAGGAAUUGAGUUUAUAAGAACCCGAGUCAACGGGACUUAAAAUAAAACGGGUUUUUAGCUCCCGGAACCCACCAAGUAACUAGGAGUAUUAACCUAGUUAGUUAAUGUCUUGACAAAAUAGAACUAAUGUGGUUAAGCUACCCUUUAAAUAACUUGUGUAAAGUGAAGGGACUAGACAUGGACAAUUGAAUUAAAGUUUCAAUUAAACAAAUUAAUAAACAAAACACACACAUACGUGUGUGUGUCUGCGACUUCAACCAGAGCCAAGAAGGGCUCUCUUGCUCAAAACCCUAAUCCCUCAAGAAUCUCUCAAAUUGAAGCCCAAAUCAAGAGCCAAAUCAUUGCAUGAACACAAAUUCGUGAUCACCUAGUCAUGGGGAUUACAAGUUGGCGCUUAAACAAGCUAGGUGAAGCUUGGAGUGAAAACGGGUCAAACGAGUCAAGUAUAGAAGAAAAGCGUAGCUCGGAUGCAAGGACUAAUUAGCAAAUCGGAUAGUUGCGUCAUCAUUAAUGGUGUGAUAAUAAAAGCGAGGCAUAAAUCGGGUCUAUUCGUUGAUCCGAGCCAGGUACGCAUAUUUAUGUUGUAGUUAAAAGUGAUAUUUUGGUCGAAUAUUUGGUGAGAGUCCUUCAUUGUAAAAGAAGGACCAAAAUCGACCAAAACGCCCUUGUAGGCUAAAUUGAACAAACAACCCUUAAAGGUU